This 440-nucleotide ribosomal RNA is filed under the name uncultured bacterium. Its description in RNAcentral is "partial 16S ribosomal RNA". It matches the Rfam family "Bacterial small subunit ribosomal RNA", at positions 338 to 795 of the family's 1533-position model. The record is from RNAcentral.
CCUACGGGCGGCAGCAGUGGGGAAUAUUGCACAAUGGGGGAAACCCUGAUGCAGCAACGCCGCGUGGAUGAAGAAGGGUUUCGGCGCGUAAACUCCUAUCGGCAGGGACGAAAAUGACGGUACCUGCCGAAUAAGCACCCGCUAACUACGUGCCAGCAGCCGCGGUAAUACGGAGGGGGCAAGCGUUAUUCGGAUUCACUGGUGGUAAAGGGGGCGGAGGCGGAAAUGCAAGACAGAAGUGAAAGCCCUGGGCCUAACCCCAGGACUGCUUUUGAAACUGUAUGGCUAGAGUACAGGAGAGGCAGGCGGAAUUCCUAGUGUAGCGGUGAAAUGCGUAGAUAUUAGGAGGAACACCCGUGGCGAAGGCGGCCUGCUGGACUGUAACUGACGCUGAGGCCCGAAAGCGUGGGGAGCAAACAGGAUUAGAUACCCUUGUAGUC